ACCUACGGGACGCAGCAGUGAGGAAUAUUGGUCAAUGGCCGAGAGGCUGAACCAGCCAAGUCGCGUGAGGGAAGACGGCCCUACGGGUUGUAAACCUCUUUUGUCGGGGAGCAAAGCGAACCACGUGUGGUUCAUUGAGAGUACCCGAAGAAAAAGCAUCGGCUAACUCCGUGCCAGCAGCCGCGGUAAUACGGAGGAUGCGAGCGUUAUCCGGAUUUAUUGGGUUUAAAGGGGGCGCAGGCGGAGGUGCAAGCCAGCGGGCAAAUUGCGGGGCUCAACCCCGUACUGCCGUUGAAACUGGAACC
Molecule: ribosomal RNA, 305 nt
Filed under: uncultured bacterium
Lineage: Bacteria
Description: bacterial SSU rRNA
Rfam family: Bacterial small subunit ribosomal RNA
Source: RNAcentral